AGAGGUUAUCCGUGUUAUGUUCGCUUCAUUCAUCAUGAAUAAUACAUGGUUAACCUCUUU
RNAcentral lists this non-coding RNA (60 nucleotides) under Macaca mulatta (Rhesus monkey). RNAcentral also lists the same sequence under 4 other names. The record is from RNAcentral. Lineage: Eukaryota; Metazoa; Chordata; Mammalia; Primates; Cercopithecidae.